Non-coding RNA from Schistosoma rodhaini, 48 nucleotides. The record is from Rfam. NCBI's taxonomy places the organism in Eukaryota, Metazoa, Platyhelminthes, Trematoda, Strigeidida, Schistosomatidae.
AUCCAGAUGACGAGUCCAAAAUAGAACGAAACGAGCAUCCAACUGGAU